GUCGAGCGCACCCUUCGGGGCGAGCGGCGGACGGGUUAGUAACGCGUGGGAACAUACCCUUUUCUAUGGAAUAGCCUUUGGAAACGAAGAGUAAUACCAUAUACGCCCUUCGGGGGAAAGAUUUAUCGGAGAAGGAUUGGCCCGCGUAAGAUUAGAUAGUUGGUGGGGUAAUGGCCUACCAAGUCUACGAUCUUUAGCUGGUUUUAGAGGAUGAUCAGCAACACUGGGACUGAGACACGGCCCAGACUCCUACGGGAGGCAGCAGUGGGGAAUCUUAGACAAUGGGCGCAAGCCUGAUCUAGCCAUGCCGCGUGUGUGAUGAAGGCCUUAGGGUCGUAAAGCACUUUCGCCAGAGAUGAUAAUGACAGUAUCUGGUAAAGAAACCCCGGCUAACUCCGUGCCAGCAGCCGCGGUAAUACGGAGGGGGUUAGCGUUGUUCGGAAUUACUGGGCGUAAAGCGCACGUAGGCGGAUCAGAAAGUAUAGGGUGAAAUCCCAGGGCUCAACCCUGGAACUGCCUUGUAAACUCCUGAUCUUGAGUUCGAGAGAGGUAAGUGGAAUUCCGAGUGUAGAGGUGAAAUUCGUAGAUAUUCGGAGGAACACCAGUGGCGAAGGCGGCU
Molecule: ribosomal RNA, 619 nt
Filed under: uncultured bacterium
Lineage: Bacteria
Description: bacterial SSU rRNA
Rfam family: Bacterial small subunit ribosomal RNA
Source: RNAcentral